This 74-nucleotide transfer RNA is filed under the name Spirochaetes bacterium RBG_16_67_19. RNAcentral describes it as "tRNA-Pro". It matches the Rfam family "tRNA". Rfam says of the family: Transfer RNA (tRNA) molecules are approximately 80 nucleotides in length. Lineage: Bacteria; Pseudomonadati; Spirochaetota. The record is from RNAcentral.
CGGGCUGUAGCGCAGAUGGUUAGCGUACAAGACUGGGGGUCUUGGGGUCGGCGGUUCGAUUCCGCCCAGCCCGA